Molecule: long non-coding RNA, 2309 nt
Organism: Homo sapiens (human)
Lineage: Eukaryota; Metazoa; Chordata; Mammalia; Primates; Hominidae
Exons: 3
Source: RefSeq, a predicted model, not a curated record
ACAAAUAUACAAGACAGAAUGCAGUUUACUGAUUUACACAGUAAGACACUGAGUAACAAGAAAUUAGGUUCAGAAGAUUGCUUGGCGAGCAUGGCAUCAAAACAAAGAGAACUGUUAUUCAAUUUAAAUGUUGAAUGGGAUUGGGAUAAGGUGGAAUCUAAAACACACAAGGCUGAUGGCUAUCUUGCCUAGAGCACCUAUGUCCACUGGAAAGUGGCUGUAGGAGAUGGUCUGCUACAGACUAGGCCUUCCCAGAAUGAAGCCAAAUUGGGGGGCUAGAGGUGGACAAAACUUUUGAGGAACAUUAAGGAACAAAACUUUUGAGGAAAUUUUUGUGAAACAUAAAGAAGUGUUAGGGAAUUCAAAACAAUUCCAAACAACAGAAAUUGUCUGCAUUAACCGUAUAAAAAUAGAGCCAGGCAUGGUGGCACAUGUCUGUAGCCCCAGCUACUUGGGAGGCUGAGACAGGAGGGUCAUCUGAGCCUGGGAGUUCAAGGCUGUGGUGCACUAUGGUGGCGCCUAUGCAUAGCCACUGGACUCCAGCCUGGGUAACAGAGUGAGAUCUAGGCUAAAAAAACAAACAAAAAACCCAACAGUAUAGAAAUACAUAUGAGGUCAUUUUAGAUAAAUAUUUAUGAACCUGAGGUCUUCAAAAAAGAAGGUAAAUAGAAGAUGAGGUUUCUUCCAUCAUAGGAAGUUGUAAUGAGUUUUACUCCAAAAUCGGAAGUGGAUGUCAAGUAAUGAAAUAUUACUUUUAGACUCUAUAUAAUUUAGUAAUGAUUAUGAUGUUCUUUCCAUUGUAGUUACACAUACAUGUAUGUCUUGUUUAAAAACCAAAUAAGGGCAAAAUCUCCAUCUAUUUAUCUUUGUAAUGAAAGCAUCGCAGUACCUGGCAAAGUGAUGAGCACACAGUAGGCAGUCUGUAAGUGAUGGUAACUCAACUCUAAUGUAAUAGAUUUUAAAUUAUAUGUGUGUUUCAUAUAUAAUAAUUUCAUUUGGGUUAAGAAAUACAGAAUCAUUUGGUAUUCUAUUAGCCUUCAGAAAUAAAUCUUACUUAAGAAACACAUUUGCAGAAAAAACAAAAAUCCCACCCUUACUCAUGAUUAUACAAUAUCUUGUAUAGUUUAGCUUUAAAGAUUAGCUUUAAAAACAAGAUUAGCUUUAAAAACAAGAUUAGCUUUAAAAACAAGAAAAAUUUGUUUCCUUCUUACCAGACACAGACAGACUUUUAAAAAUUUAAAUUAUACAAAACUAAGAAGUGAUCAAAUUAUUACAAAGAAUGGUCUAGAUGACUGGCACUUAUUGUAUUGCAAAUGUAUUCCUUUAAUGGAUUUAACACUGUUCUUUUUGUUUUAUUAAAGCCCUUUCUUUGGCCAGAAAAAGAACAGGAUACAAUUUGCAAGUCUAGAAUUCCUGGACUGAUAAAAACAACACAAGGUGCCCUUGAAUUUCCUGUUCACGUGUGUUUUCUCCAGACUGCUCUAUUCAUUAAUGGAGACACUACCAAUAGUUAAGUCCAACAUUCUUUUUUAUCAAGCCUGGGGAAAGGAGAUAACAAAUCUGGCACUCAGGCCAUUUAUAAAUAGAUGUGGUAUCUCCAACCAUUUACCAUCAAAUUUCUAAAGGAAGAAAAUAGAACUGCUUUACCUGGCUGUAAAACAAAUUAUUUAACUGGUGAUUUCACCUUAGUUUUCACAUACUGCAUUUCAGAGGAAGGAGUGUCCUUAAUGCUACUAUAUUGCCUUGUAGUAUAAAAAUUCGCCUAAAUUCAAUUCACUAGUUGCAAUCAUAAUGCCCUAGGCUACAAUAAGUCCUCAGAUUGUACACUGUAUAAACUGGGUCCCUAACGAAAGGGCAGCUACAGCUUCUUUCCUCUCUGAGGCACAGUCUAAAAUGCAAGAAAUUCAUAGGUGAAGUUUCAAAUCCCAGCAUUAACUUUCACUAAUUGUUUUAUUUUCAACCAACAUUUAUUGCAGAUAUAUACCAUGUUGACUGUAUGAAGUGCUGAGAAUAAGACUGAUAAAACACAGUUCCGGCCCUUAGGGAGUUCAUGAUCUUAUGGAGACACAAAGUAGGGAGAAAUCAGUGCUUCAAGAGGAAGGAUAAUCAAAGGUUUAAUACAGAAGCGUGGCCCUCUCCAUGUGGCGUAUGCCCUGAUCACUAGACCAGAGGAAUGCAUUUCAUAAACAGACACCCUUGUCUUUGCUCCUUCUGUGAAUCAUAAGGAAAAAAGUAUCAGAAUGCUUUCUACAUGAACAGGAAGACUAACCAACGUUGAAUGGCAGCCAGUCUUAUCUCCGUCCUUAUCA